GGCUAGUUAGUUAAAUUGUGUGCAAUAAUGUGGAUUUUGUAAGUCUAAGUUGAUUGAUGAUCAUUGGCCU
RNAcentral lists this transfer RNA (70 nucleotides) under Echinococcus oligarthrus. Its description in RNAcentral is "tRNA-Thr". Lineage: Eukaryota; Metazoa; Platyhelminthes; Cestoda; Cyclophyllidea; Taeniidae. The record is from RNAcentral.